Molecule: long non-coding RNA, 368 nt
Filed under: Zonotrichia albicollis (white-throated sparrow)
Lineage: Eukaryota; Metazoa; Chordata; Aves; Passeriformes; Passerellidae
Description: lncRNA (ENSZALG00000000381.1)
Source: RNAcentral
CUCUCCAUGAGUGACCACAGCUGUGGUCAUUUUUGGGUGGUCAGUUGGUCAUUCCAGGCCAGCACAUGGUCAGUGUCCACUCCAGUGUCCACUCUGUAUUGUCCACUCUCCAUGAGUGACCACAGCUGCGGUCAUUUUUGGAUGGUCAGUUGGUCAGUGGCCAUUCCUGGGUGGUCACUCAGUGGUCAGUGGUCACUCCAUGGUCAUUCUCAGGCCAGCCCGUGGUCACUCAGUGAUCAGUGGUCACUCAGUGGUCACUCUCAGGCCAGCCUGUGGUCACUCCCAGGUGGUAACUCCGUGGUCAAUGGUCACUCAGCGGUCAAUGGUCACUCAGCGGUCAAUGGUCACUCAGUGGUCACUCAGUGGGU